GACGAACGCUGGCGGCGUGCCUAAUACAUGCAAGUAGAACGCACAGUUUAUACCGUAGCUUGCUACACCAUAAACUGUGAGUUGCGAACGGGUGAGUAACGCGUAGGUAACCUGCCUGGUAGCGGGGGAUAACUAUUGGAAACGAUAGCUAAUACCGCAUAAUAUUGAUUAUUGCAUGAUAAUUGAUUGAAAGAUGCUAUAGCAUCACUACCAGAUGGACCUGCGUUGUAUUAGCUAGUAGGUGAGGUAACGGCUCACCUAGGCGACGAUACAUAGCCGACCUGAGAGGGUGAUCGGCCACACUGGGACUGAGACACGGCCCAGACUCCUACGGGAGGCAGCAGUAGGGAAUCUUCGGCAAUGGACGAAAGUCUGACCGAGCAACGCCGCGUGAGUGAAGAAGGUUUUCGGAUCGUAAAGCUCUGUUGUAAGAGAAGAACGGGUGUGAGAGUGGAAAGUUCACACUGUGACGGUAUCUUACCAGAAAGGGACGGCUAACUACGUG
Molecule: ribosomal RNA, 505 nt
Filed under: uncultured bacterium
Lineage: Bacteria
Description: partial 16S ribosomal RNA
Rfam family: Bacterial small subunit ribosomal RNA
Source: RNAcentral